Long non-coding RNA from Dendroctonus ponderosae (mountain pine beetle), 654 nucleotides. RefSeq lists it as uncharacterized. Lineage: Eukaryota; Metazoa; Arthropoda; Insecta; Coleoptera; Curculionidae. The transcript is spliced from 2 exons. The record is from RefSeq and is a predicted model, not a curated record.
CCGUAUUUUUUGGCAUAAUAGCUGAUGGUAUUCACACUCAUCCUGCUGCUCUAAGAAUUGCUUACCGGGUCCAUCCUGACGGUUUGAUAUUAGUGACUGAUGCAAUAUCAGCGCUGGGCUUACAGGCUGGUCAGCACAAAAUUGGCCAACUGGACAUUGAGGUGAAAGAUAACAAGGCUUUUAUUGCGGGCACUUCUACUCUUUGUGGAAGCGUAGCUUCAAUGAUUCAAUGUGUUCGGAAUUUUAUCAAAUCUACAGGUGAACUGGACGCUUGCUUCGAACUGGGGUGAUUAUUUCACCCGAGUUCCAUGAAAAUGCGAAUGAAUCAAUUUUUAGGUUGCUCGCCCGAGUAUGCUUUUGAAGCAGCAAGUUUUCACCCUGCGCUAGCUUUGGGUAUUGAAAAAAAUAAAGGGUCGCUCAGUUACGGAGCAGAUGCGGAUUUUAUAAUGCUAACGGAUGACUACGACAUAUCCUCCACUUGGAUAGAUGGAGAAUGUGUCUACAGUGAGGGUGGAAUGUAAUAAUUUUUUCAUUCUUUAAAUUAAUUUUAAGAGUUAUUCUAAAUUGAAGGACCAGCUGAUGUUAGUAAGAUGUAUUUUUUUAUUACUUUAUAAAGAAAAAGUGGAUGAUUUAAAUAAAUAAUGCUAUGACUUA